RNAcentral lists this ribosomal RNA (264 nucleotides) under Aliarcobacter butzleri. RNAcentral's name for it is "partial 23S ribosomal RNA". It matches the Rfam family "Bacterial large subunit ribosomal RNA", at positions 1 to 281 of the family's 2925-position model. The record is from RNAcentral. Lineage: Bacteria; Pseudomonadati; Campylobacterota; Epsilonproteobacteria; Campylobacterales; Arcobacteraceae.
UAAUAAGCUAUUAAGGGCUAAUGGUGGAUGCCUAGACUGUAAGAGGCGAUGAAAGACGUAUUAGGCUGCGAUAAGCCUCGGGGAGCUGCCAAAGAGCUUUGAUCCGGGGAUUUCUGAAUGGGGCAACCCAAUAUAAUGAGAAUUAUAUUACCCUACGGGGAGCGAACCUAGUGAAGUGAAACAUCUCAGUAGCUAGAGGAAGAGAAAUCAAACGAGAUUCCCAAAGUAGCGGCGAGCGAAAUGGGAUUAGGACAAACCCAAUGC